AGUGAACGCUGGCGGUAGGCCUAACACAUGCGAGUCGAACGGCAGCACAGUAAGAGCUUGCUCUUACGGGUGGCGAGUGGCGGACGGGUGAGGAAUACAUCGGAAUCUACUUUUUCGUGGGGGAUAACGUAGGGAAACUUACGCUAAUACCGCAUACGACCUACGGGUGAAAGCAGGGGAUCUUCGGACCUUGCGCGAUUGAAUGAGCCGAUGUCGGAUUAGCUAGUUGGCGGGGUAAAGGCCCACCAAGGCGACGAUCCGUAGCUGGUCUGAGAGGAUGAUCAGCCACACUGGAACUGAGACACGGUCCAGACUCCUACGGGAGGCAGCAGUGGGGAAUAUUGGACAAUGGGCGCAAGCCUGAUCCAGCCAUACCGCGUGGGUGAAGAAGGCCUUCGGGUGGUAAAGCCCUUUUGUUGGGAAAGAAAAGCAGCAGGUUAAGACCCCGCUGUUCGGACGGUACCCAAAGAAUAAGCACCGGCUAACUUCGG
Molecule: ribosomal RNA, 491 nt
Filed under: uncultured bacterium
Lineage: Bacteria
Description: partial 16S ribosomal RNA
Rfam family: Bacterial small subunit ribosomal RNA
Source: RNAcentral